Molecule: ribosomal RNA, 497 nt
Filed under: uncultured bacterium
Lineage: Bacteria
Description: partial 16S ribosomal RNA
Rfam family: Bacterial small subunit ribosomal RNA
Source: RNAcentral
GAUGAACGCUGGCGGCGUGCCUAAUACAUGCAAGUCGAGCGAACAGACGAGGAGCUUGCUCCUCUGACGUUAGCGGCGGACGGGUGAGUAACACGUGGAUAACCUACCUAUAAGACUGGGAUAACUUCGGGAAACCGGAGCUAAUACCGGAUAAUAUAUUGAACCGCAUGGUUCAAUAGUGAAAGACGGUUUUGCUGUCACUUAUAGAUGGAUCCGCGCCGCAUUAGCUAGUUGGUAAGGUAACGGCUUACCAAGGCAACGAUGCGUAGCCGACCUGAGAGGGUGAUCAGCCACACUGGAACUGAGACACGGUCCAGACUCCUACGGGAGGCAGCAGUAGGGAAUCUUCCGCAAUGGGCGAAAGCCUGACGGAGCAACGCCGCGUGAGUGAUGAAGGUCUUCGGAUCGUAAAACUCUGUUAUUAGGGAAGAACAAAUGUGUAAGUAACUAUGCACGUAUUGACGGUACCUAAUCAGAAAGCCACGGCUAACUACGUG